The sequence is a ribosomal RNA, 1001 nucleotides long. It matches the Rfam family "Bacterial small subunit ribosomal RNA", at positions 403 to 1414 of the family's 1533-position model.
GAGGGAUGACGGCCUUCGGGUUGUAACCUCUUUCAGUAGGGAAGAAGCGAAAGUGACGGUACCUGCAGAAGAAGCACCGGCUAACUACGUGCCAGCAGCCGCGGUAAUACGUAGGGUGCGAGCGUUAUCCGGAAUUAUUGGGCGUAAAGAGCUCGUAGGCGGUUUGUCGCGUCUGUCGUGAAAGUCCGGGGCUUAACCCCGGAUCUGCGGUGGGUACGGGCAGACUAGAGUGCAGUAGGGGAGACUGGAAUUCCUGGUGUAGCGGUGGAAUGCGCAGAUAUCAGGAGGAACACCGAUGGCGAAGGCAGGUCUCUGGGCUGUAACUGACGCUGAGGAGCGAAAGCAUGGGGAGCGAACAGGAUUAGAUACCCUGGUAGUCCAUGCCGUAAACGUUGGGCACUAGGUGUGGGGACCAUUCCACGGUUUCCGCGCCGCAGCUAACGCAUUAAGUGCCCCGCCUGGGGAGUACGGCCGCAAGGCUAAAACUCAAAGGAAUUGACGGGGGCCCGCACAAGCGGCGGAGCAUGCGGAUUAAUUCGAUGCAACGCGAAGAACCUUACCAAGGCUUGACAUGUUCUCGAUCGCCGUAGAGAUACGGUUUCCCCUUUGGGGCGGGUUCACAGGUGGUGCAUGGUUGUCGUCAGCUCGUGUCGUGAGAUGUUGGGUUAAGUCCCGCAACGAGCGCAACCCUCGUUCCAUGUUGCCAGCACGUAAUGGUGGGGACUCAUGGGAGACUGCCGGGGUCAACUCGGAGGAAGGUGAGGACGACGUCAAAUCAUCAUGCCCCUUAUGUCUUGGGCUUCACGCAUGCUACAAUGGCCGGUACAAUGGGUUGCGAUACUGUGAGGUGGAGCUAAUCCCAAAAAGCCGGUCUCAGUUCGGAUUGGGGUCUGCAACUCGACCCCAUGAAGUCGGAGUCGCUAGUAAUCGCAGAUCAGCAACGCUGCGGUGAAUACGUUCCCGGGCCUUGUACACACCGCCCGUCAAGUCACGAAAGUUGG